GAUGAACGCUGGCGGCGUGCCUAAUACAUGCAAGUCGAGCGAACAGACGAGGAACUUGCUCCUCUGACAUUAGCGGCGGACGGGUGAGUAACACGUGGAUAACCUACCUAUAAGACUGGGAUAACUUCGGGAAACCGGAGCUAAUACCGGAUAAUAUAUUGAACCGCAUGGUUCAAUAGUGAAAGACGGUUUUGCUGUCACUUAUAGAUGUAUCCGCUCCUCAUUAGCUAGUUGGUAAGGUAACGGCUUACCAAGGCAACGAUGCGUAGCCGCCCUGAGAGGGUGAUCGGCCACAUUGGAACUGGGACACGGCCCAGCCCCCUCCGGGAGGAAGAAGAAGGGAUCCUUGCGCAAGGGGCGAAAGCCUGACGGACAAACGCCGCGUGGGGGAUGAAGGUCUUCGGACCGUAAAACUCUGUUAUUAGGGAAGAAGAAAUGUGGAAGUAAAUAUGCACGUCGUGACGGUACCUAAUCAGAAAGCCACGGCUAACUACGUG
RNAcentral lists this ribosomal RNA (497 nucleotides) under uncultured bacterium. Its description in RNAcentral is "partial 16S ribosomal RNA". It matches the Rfam family "Bacterial small subunit ribosomal RNA", at positions 28 to 507 of the family's 1533-position model. The record is from RNAcentral.